CUGCCCUACCAGCUCUGGGCCAUCUCAAUCUAGACUAAUUAGAAACAAGCUUCCAUCUUGCUUAAACCACUGUAUUUCAGGGUCUCCUAAUCACAGCAGCUCAGAAUCAACUCCAACAAAGACAUCCCCACCAAGGCAAGCUAUGAGGAACAGGAAGCAUACAACUGGCCUUAUUGUCCCUUUUUGGGCCCAAGACAGCCUCAUGGCCCCUUUCUGGCCCCCAGCCAGCCUGCCCCAAGGAAGGGCACAACAGUGACUGCACCUGGGACAGUGGACAGCUGGGACUGGGUGUCAGAAGGAAGGGGUGAUGGGGAGGGAGAGACGGAUCCGUGCAGAGGACUCAUGUCAGUCUUCUCCUCCCCACUUCCCCCUCAAGGCCACACCUACAACUGGACUCUUGGCCUUGCAAGGACUGAGUGCACAGUCCACAAGACAGCAAUGUGAAAGGGAGAAGGAACGUCAACGCCGGGUUUAGAACCAAAAGGAAAGCUCCUCAGGGUUCUCCAGGCCCCUGUGUUGGCUCACGACAGCCUGAGGGGUGCACAGAGACAGACUCAGGCACCAGCAUCCCAGGGCAGCCAGGUCCUGUCCUUUGCGGCAGGGGGUGGAGUUCUGUCUCCAUCUGGCCCAGCACUUCUGACUACACUGCAAAGCAUCCCUCAGCACCUCCUCUUGGUAGGAUGUGGCUUUUUCAUCUCUUCCCUACGAGGUGUCCACGCUUCCUCCUGGACCCAAAUGCAUCUACUUACAGAGCCCUGGGUCCUCCUGGCAGGCCGGUCUCCCACACGGAGCCCAAGGCCCAGGGAUGCCAAAUGGUGGGCUUUUUCCCGGCCUGGCCACCCCCCAGAGGCUGCCUGGUGAGAUCCUGCAGGCUCUCUUCCCCAAUCCUGCCUACCCUCCCCCGCUACCCAGGGACCACCACGCACACUCCAGUGGCACCUCCUGGCCACAGCAGUCUUGGCAGUCAUAAGGGCCACCCAGACGUCACGGCCUGCGCCCUCUCCCAACAGGAGGGAUAUUUUCUGAGCUCAAAGGCCUG
This 1039-nucleotide long non-coding RNA is filed under the name Homo sapiens (human). RNAcentral's name for it is "LHRI_LNC743.1". Lineage: Eukaryota; Metazoa; Chordata; Mammalia; Primates; Hominidae. The record is from RNAcentral.